UUNUGAACUGGGUGACUAGAGUGUGUCAGAGGGAGGUAGAAUUCCACGUGUAGCAGUGAAAUGCGUAGAGAUGUGUAGGAAUACCGAUGGCGAAGGCAGCCUCCUGGGAUAACACUGACGUUCAUGCUNGAAAGCGUGGGUAGCAAACAGGAUUAGAUACCCUGGUAGUCCACGCCCUAAACGAUGUCAAUUAGCUGUUGGGCAACUUGAUUGCUUAGUAGCGUAGCUAACGCGUGAAAUUGACCGCCCGGGGAGUACGGUCGCAAGAUUAAAACUCAAAGGAAUUGACGGGGACCCGCACAAGCGGUGGAUGAUGUGGAUUAAUUCGAUGCAACGCGAAGAACCUUACCUGGUCUUGACAUGUACGGAAUCCUCCAGAGACGGAGGAGUGCCUUCGGGAGCCGUAACACAGGUGCUGCAUGGCUGUCGUCAGCUCGUGUCGUGAGAUGUUGGGUUAAGUCCCGCAACGAGCGCAACCCUUGUCAUUAGUUGCCAUCAUUUAGUUGGGCACUCUAAUGAGACUGCCGGUGACAAGCCGGAGGAAGGUGGGGAUGACGUCAAGUCCUCAUGGCCCUUAUGACCAGGGCUUCACAUGUCAUACAAUGGUCGGUACAGAGGGUAGCCAAGCCGCGAGGUGGAGCCAAUCUCACAAAACCGAUCGUAGU
This 665-nucleotide ribosomal RNA is filed under the name uncultured bacterium. RNAcentral describes it as "bacterial SSU rRNA". It matches the Rfam family "Bacterial small subunit ribosomal RNA", at positions 626 to 1292 of the family's 1533-position model. The record is from RNAcentral.